Molecule: long non-coding RNA, 286 nt
Filed under: Ananas comosus (pineapple)
Lineage: Eukaryota; Viridiplantae; Streptophyta; Magnoliopsida; Poales; Bromeliaceae
Description: long non-coding RNA (ACOM_LNC021468)
Source: RNAcentral
AUGGGUCGGGUCGCGCUCACAGUAUUCAUGUCGCUCGUAGGGUAUUCGUGGCGUGAACACCGCGGAUGAGUUGGUGUGGAGGUGGUAAUGGUAGGAUAAGUGCAAGGCUACUACCGGCGAUGGAGAUAUGACCCGCGCAGAGAGGGCGGAGGAAGAGAAGAUGGAGUGUUUAAGGCGCAGAAAUGUUUUGAUAGGUUUUAACAAAUUUUGAUCCGAAUUUGUAAAAAUAAAAAAAGGGUCCGAUUUUAUAAAAACUCAAAAACAGUGAAUUUUUUUUGCAAAAAGA